Molecule: transfer RNA, 68 nt
Filed under: Loxodonta africana (African savanna elephant)
Lineage: Eukaryota; Metazoa; Chordata; Mammalia; Proboscidea; Elephantidae
Rfam family: tRNA
About the family: Transfer RNA (tRNA) molecules are approximately 80 nucleotides in length. Their secondary structure includes four short double-helical elements and three loops (D, anti-codon, and T loops).
Source: Rfam by way of RNAcentral
GGCUGUCACAAAUGGUUUGUACUUGGCUACUAACCAAAUGGUUGGUGGUUUGAAUCCACCCAGCACCA